GACGAACGCUGGCGGCGUGCUUAACACAUGCAAGUCGAACGGAAAGGCCCUGCUUUUGUGGGGUGCUCGAGUGGCGAACGGGUGAGUAACACGUGAGUAACCUGCCCUUGACUUUGGGAUAACUUCAGGAAACUGGGGCUAAUACCGGAUAGGAGCUCCUGCUGCAUGGUGGGGGUUGGAAAGUUUCGGCGGUUGGGGAUGGACUCGCGGCUUAUCAGCUGGUUGGUGGGGUAGUGGCUUACCAAGGCUUUGACGGGUAGCCGGCCUGAGAGGGUGACCGGCCACAUUGGGACGGAGAUACGGCCCAGACUCCUACGGGAGGCAGCAGUGGGGAAUAGUGCACAAUGGGCGGAAGCCUGAUGCAGCAACGCCGCGUGCGGGAUGACGGCCUUCGGGUUGUAAACCGCUUUCGCCUGUGACGAAGCGUGAGUGACGGUAAUGGGUAAAGAAGCACCGGCUAACUACGUG
This 468-nucleotide ribosomal RNA is filed under the name uncultured bacterium. Its description in RNAcentral is "partial 16S ribosomal RNA". It matches the Rfam family "Bacterial small subunit ribosomal RNA", at positions 28 to 507 of the family's 1533-position model. The record is from RNAcentral.